Molecule: unclassified non-coding RNA, 287 nt
Filed under: uncultured Inocybaceae
Lineage: Eukaryota; Fungi; Basidiomycota; Agaricomycetes; Agaricales
Description: sequence contains ITS2
Rfam family: 5.8S ribosomal RNA (bases 1-52)
Source: RNAcentral
AACGCAUCUUGCGCUCCUUGGUAUUCCGAGGAGCAUGCCUGUUUGAGUGUCAUUUAAAUUCUCAACCACAUCUUGAUGUGGCUUUGGACAUGGGGGUUUUUGCGGGCUUUCCUUCCAAGUCGGCUCCCCUGAAAUGUAUUAGUGGUAUCUGGAGCAGAGACUGCUAGGUGUGAUAAUAUCAUCUAUGCCUGUGGUAUGCUGCAUGAACAGAUUGUGCUGCUUCUAACACACAUUUUGAUUUUGACAAACUUGACCUCAAAUCAGGUAGGACUACCCGCUGAACUUAA